This 404-nucleotide ribosomal RNA is filed under the name Actinomycetes bacterium. Its description in RNAcentral is "Actinobacteria bacterium partial 16S ribosomal RNA". It matches the Rfam family "Bacterial small subunit ribosomal RNA", at positions 355 to 776 of the family's 1533-position model. Lineage: Bacteria; Bacillati; Actinomycetota; Actinomycetes. The record is from RNAcentral.
UGGGGAAUAUUGGACAAUGGGCGCAAGCCUGAUCCAGCCAUGCCGCGUGAGUGAUGAAGGCCCUUGGGUUGUAAAGCUCUUUCACCGGUGAAGAUAAUGACGGUAACCGGAGAAGAAGCCCCGGCUAACUUCGUGCCAGCAGCCGCGGUAAUACGAAGGGGGCUAGCGUUGUUCGGAUUUACUGGGCGUAAAGCGCACGUAGGCGGACUUUUAAGUCAGGGGUGAAAUCCCGGGGCUCAACCCCGGAACUGCCUUUGAUACUGGAAGUCUUGAGUAUGGUAGAGGUGAGUGGAAUUCCGGGUGUAGAGGUGAAAUUCGUAGAUAUUCGGAGGAACACCAGUGGCGAAGGCGGCUCACUGGACCAUUACUGACGCUGAGGUGCGAAAGCGUGGGGGGCAAACAGG